ACGCUCGACACCUACGGGAGCAGCAGUAGGGAAUCUUCCACAAUGGGCGCAAGCCUGAUGGAGCAACACCGCGUGAGUGAAGAAGGGUUUCGGCUCGUAAAGCUCUGUUGUUGGAGAAGAACGUGCGUGAGAGUAACUGUUCACGCAGUGACGGUAUCCAACCAGAAAGUCACGGCUAACUACGUGCAGCAGCCGCGGUAAUCUGAGCGGGCUGGCAAGGC
RNAcentral lists this ribosomal RNA (221 nucleotides) under uncultured bacterium. RNAcentral's name for it is "partial 16S ribosomal RNA". It matches the Rfam family "Bacterial small subunit ribosomal RNA", at positions 328 to 539 of the family's 1533-position model. The record is from RNAcentral.